GAAAAGAAAACACCAACACUCCAUGGCUAAUAAGAAUAAAACAAAUAAAGAUAUGAGGCAAAAAAAGUCUUUGUUUGGCAGCUUGGACAAACUUUGUAGCACCUGAUCGUCCAUGCCACUCUUGUUACAGGACAUGAGUAUGGGCACAUCAUGGAACAUUUUAGGGCAGUUGUUGGUUUUCCUCUUGGUGAUCCAUCAAUGAAGUGGCCAACAUCAUGUAAUAACAUUUUAGGGGAAGAUGUAGGUAUAUGUCUUUUUAAUGAAUAAUGUAAUCAUAUGUAUGAAUAUGAAAUAAAGUUUGUUAUUUGUAUGACAAUAACUUUUAUGCAAUGGAUUGUAUUUUUUGUAUAUGGUAUUUUAUUUUCUGUUAUGAGACAUUAAAUGCAAAUUUAAUUUGAAAAUUAGUAAAUCUGUAAAUAAUAUUUUUUUUAACAUUUAAAAUUAUGAUACGCAAAAAUGUGUGUCAUCUUCAUUUAUGACAUGGCCUUUUUUGACAGGGGCUUUCUUGAUACGCAUUGCGUGUCAUUA
Molecule: long non-coding RNA, 528 nt
Organism: Lactuca sativa (garden lettuce)
Lineage: Eukaryota; Viridiplantae; Streptophyta; Magnoliopsida; Asterales; Asteraceae
Source: RefSeq, a predicted model, not a curated record